This 454-nucleotide ribosomal RNA is filed under the name uncultured bacterium. RNAcentral describes it as "bacterial SSU rRNA". It matches the Rfam family "Bacterial small subunit ribosomal RNA", at positions 340 to 786 of the family's 1533-position model. The record is from RNAcentral.
UACGGAAGGCAGCAGUAGGGAAUCUUCCGCAAUGGACGAAAGUCUGACGGAGCAACGCCGCGUGAACGAUGAAGGCUUUCGGGUCGUAAAGUUCUGUUGUUAGGGAAGAACAAGUACCGGAGUAACUGCCGGUACCUUGACGGUACCUAACCAGAAAGCCACGGCUAACUACGUGCCAGCAGCCGCGGUAAUACGUAGGUGGCAAGCGUUGUCCGGAAUUAUUGGGCGUAAAGCGCGCGCAGGCGGUCCUUUAAGUCUGAUGUGAAAGCCCACGGCUCAACCGUGGAGGGUCAUUGGAAACUGGGGACUUGAGUGCAGAAGAGGAGAGUGGAAUUCCACGUGUAGCGGUGAAAUGCGUAGAGAUGUGGAGGAACACCAGUGGCGAAGGCGACUCUCUGGUCUGUAACUGACGCUGAGGCGCGAAAGCGUGGGGAGCGAACAGGGAUUAGAUACC